UCCCUGGUGAUUCAGUUGGUUAAGAAUCUGCCUGCAAUGCAGGAGAUCUGGGUUCAAUCCCUGGUUUGGGAA
This 72-nucleotide transfer RNA is filed under the name Bos taurus (domestic cattle). It matches the Rfam family "tRNA". Rfam says of the family: Transfer RNA (tRNA) molecules are approximately 80 nucleotides in length. Their secondary structure includes four short double-helical elements and three loops (D, anti-codon, and T loops). The record is from Rfam by way of RNAcentral. Lineage: Eukaryota; Metazoa; Chordata; Mammalia; Artiodactyla; Bovidae. RNAcentral also lists the same sequence under 1 other name.